Molecule: ribosomal RNA, 255 nt
Filed under: uncultured bacterium
Lineage: Bacteria
Description: partial 16S ribosomal RNA
Rfam family: Bacterial small subunit ribosomal RNA
Source: RNAcentral
AACGUAGGAGACAAACGUUAUCCGGAGUUACUGGGCGUAAAGGGCGUGUAGGUGGUUUCGUAAGUCUGGCGUGAAAUUUUUCGGCUUAACCGGGAAAGGUCGUCGGAUACUGCGGAACUAGAGGACGGUAGAGGCGUGUGGAAUUCCGGGUGUAGCGGUGGAAUGCGUAGAGAUCCGGAAGAACACCGGUGGCGAAGGCGGCCUGCUGGGCAGUUUUGCUGACACUGAGGCGCGACAGCGUGGGGAGCAAACAGG